This 302-nucleotide unclassified non-coding RNA is filed under the name Hevea brasiliensis (rubber tree). Lineage: Eukaryota; Viridiplantae; Streptophyta; Magnoliopsida; Malpighiales; Euphorbiaceae. The record is from RNAcentral.
GCAUCCCCAUACACCUGCCUAAAAGUUUCUAAUGCUGCCCCUAAGGACAAAUCCAUUGCAACCUCCCCCAUCAACUGCCUAAGUCUACUAGCCUUAUCCAACAAUCGAUUAAAAGCUGUUUCAACCUUCAUAUCAGUAUCCAAAUCGACUGGCUUCCCAUCAACACCAUAGAGUGGGCAUUUAUCUCUCACCUUGUGCAACGAAUGCCCUAAUUGUCUUGCCAAAAUUCCCAAUGGAUUUCCCAGAGUCCCUGUCAAAACACUCCCACCUAAAUCUGCCGAAGCAGUAACCUUAUUUCCUCC